Molecule: ribosomal RNA, 503 nt
Filed under: uncultured bacterium
Lineage: Bacteria
Description: bacterial SSU rRNA
Rfam family: Bacterial small subunit ribosomal RNA
Source: RNAcentral
AACGAACGCUGGCGGCGCGCCUAAUACAUGCAAGUCGAGCGAGAAGACGUAGCAAUACGUUUGUAAAGCGGCGAACGGGCGAGGAAUACAUGGGUAACCUACCCUCGAGUGGGGAAUAAACUAGCCGAAAGGUUAGCUAAUACCGCGUACGCUCCUUGGACUUCGGUUCAGGGAGGAAAGCGAUACCGUGGGUAUCGCGCUCUUGGAUGGGCUCAUGUCCUAUCAGCUUGUUGGUGAGGUAACGGCUCACCAAGGCUUCGACGGGUAGCUGGUCUGAGAGGACGAUCAGCCACACUGGCACUGCGACACGGGCCAGACUCCUACGGGAGGCAGCAGUAAGGAAUAUUGCGCAAUGGGCGAAAGCCUGACGCAGCGACGCCGCGUGGAGGAUGAAGGUCUUCGGAUUGUAAACUCCUGUUGCCCGGGACGAUAGCUCCGACCUAACACGUCGGAGUCUGACGGUACCGGGUGAGGAAGCCCCGGCUAACUCUGUGCCAGCAGCC